GGAAAGGCGAAAAGAACCCCGGCGAGGGGAGUGAAAAAGAACCUGAAACCGUGUACGUACAAGCAGUGGGAGCACGCUUAGGCGUGUGACUGCGUACCUUUUGUAUAAUGGGUCAGCGACUUAUAUUCUGUAGCAAGGUUAACCGAAUAGGGGAGCCGAAGGGAAACCGAGUCUUAACUGGGCGUUAAGUUGCAGGGUAUAGACCCGAAACCCGGUGAUCUAGCCAUGGGCAGGUUGAAGGUUGGGUAACACUAACUGGAGGACCGAACCGACUAAUGUUGAAAAAUUAGCGGAUGACUUGUGGCUGGGGGUGAAAGGCCAAUCAAACCGGGAGAUAGCUGGUUCUCCCCGAAAGCUAUUUAGGUAGCGCCUCGUGAAUUCAUCUCCGGGGGUAGAGCACUGUUUCGGCAAGGGGGUCAUCCCGACUUACCAACCCGAUGCAAACUGCGAAUACCGGAGAAUGUUAUCACGGGAGACACACGGCGGGUGCUAACGUCCGUCGUGAAGAGGGAAACAACCCAGACCGCCAGCUAAGGUCCCAAAGUCAUGGUUAAGUGGGAAACGAUGUGGGAAGGCCCAGACAGCCAGGAUGUUGGCUUAGAAGCAGCCAUCAUUUAAAGAAAGCGUAAUAGCUCACUGGUCGAGUCGGCCUGCGCGGAAGAUGUAACGGGGCUAAACCAUGCACCGAAGCUGCGGCAGCGACGCUGAUGCGUUGUUG
RNAcentral lists this ribosomal RNA (718 nucleotides) under Escherichia coli. RNAcentral's name for it is "partial 23S ribosomal RNA". It matches the Rfam family "Bacterial large subunit ribosomal RNA", at positions 508 to 1226 of the family's 2925-position model. Lineage: Bacteria; Pseudomonadati; Pseudomonadota; Gammaproteobacteria; Enterobacterales; Enterobacteriaceae. The record is from RNAcentral.